Molecule: long non-coding RNA, 223 nt
Filed under: Elaeis guineensis (African oil palm)
Lineage: Eukaryota; Viridiplantae; Streptophyta; Magnoliopsida; Arecales; Arecaceae
Description: long non-coding RNA (EGUI_LNC048780)
Source: RNAcentral
ACCCAUGAGUUAACUAUGAAGCAAAAUAUUUAGGAGGAAAGUAGAAAGAAGACAAUUGCUUCCAAAUCAACCGCAUUGGAAGAUGAUGAAAGCAAUGAGUCAAUUGAUGAAGAUGAAGAAGAUGAUUUGGCAUUAAUAGCAUAGAAGUUCAAAAUAUUGAUGAAAAGAAAGAAGCAAAAUUUUACGAAAAGAUCAUUUAAAGGAGAAUUGAGCAAAGAUAGGG